AAUGAGAUGGCUGAGGGAUAAGCAGUAGAUUGUAAAUCUAUAGACGAGUAUUAACUCUCUCAUUA
Molecule: transfer RNA, 65 nt
Filed under: Neaxius glyptocercus (red mud lobster)
Lineage: Eukaryota; Metazoa; Arthropoda; Malacostraca; Decapoda; Strahlaxiidae
Description: tRNA-Tyr
Rfam family: tRNA
About the family: Transfer RNA (tRNA) molecules are approximately 80 nucleotides in length. Their secondary structure includes four short double-helical elements and three loops (D, anti-codon, and T loops).
Source: RNAcentral